This 221-nucleotide long non-coding RNA is filed under the name Mytilus galloprovincialis (Mediterranean mussel). The record is from RNAcentral. Lineage: Eukaryota; Metazoa; Mollusca; Bivalvia; Mytilida; Mytilidae.
GUUUGUGUUUUCAUAAAAUUUCGUCUUUUGCCCUGGCUUUGAUUCUCUUCAACUGGCAAGGUCUGAAUGACAGUACUGUGUGUCUCUUUUUCAUUUUACUCCUUUUCUUUUAAUACUGGACAGUUUAAAAAUAUUUACAACAUCUUACAUAGUCUACCAAUUCCUUUAAAUAUUCACUCAUUCAAUAAAGAACAGCAGGUAAACCAAUUAGGUGUUUAUUU